GCUGGCGGCGUGCCUAAUGCAUGCAAGCCGAACGGCCCGAUUUAUCGGGCAGUGGCGAACGGGUGAGUAACACGUAAGAACCAACCCUCAAGUGGGGGAUAACCCCGAGAAAUCGGGGCUAAUACCGCAUAAGCUCCCCGAUUAUAUCGGGGAGGAAAGCUAAGGCGCUUGGGGACGGGCUUGCGUCCGAUUAGCUAGUUGGUGAGGUAAUGGCUCACCAAGGCUGAGAUCGGUAGCUGGUCUUAGAGGAUGAUCAGCCACACUGGGACUGAGAUACGGCCCAGACUCCUACGGGAGGCAGCAGCAGGGGAUAUUGCGCAAUGGGUGAAAGCCUGACGCAGCAACGCCGCGUGGGGGAAGAAGGUUUUCGGAUCGUAAACCCCUUUUCCCGGGGAAGAUUAUGACGGUACCCGGGGAAUAAGUCUCGGCUAACUACGUGCCAGCAGCCGCGGUAAGACGUAGGAGGCGAGCGUUAUCCGGAAUUAUUGGGCGUAAAGGGCGUGUAGGCGGCUCUUCAAGUCUGUGGUGAAAUCUCCCGGCUCAACUGGGAGGGUGCCAGAGAAACUGGAGGGCUUGAGGGCAGUAGAGGGGGGUGGAAUUCCCGGUGUAGUGGUGAUAUGCGUAGAUAUCGGGAGGAACGCCAGUGGCGAAGGCGGCCCCCUGGGCUGUUCCUGACGCUGAAGCGCGAAAGCGUGGGGAGCAAACAGGAUUAGAUACCCUGGUAGUCCACGCCGCAAACGAUGGACACUAUGUAUGGGGGGUAUCGACCCCUUCCGUGCCGAAGCUUACGCCAUAAGUGUCCCGCCUGGGGAUUACGGCCGCAAGGCUAAAACUCAAAGGAANUUGA
This 847-nucleotide ribosomal RNA is filed under the name uncultured bacterium. Its description in RNAcentral is "bacterial SSU rRNA". It matches the Rfam family "Bacterial small subunit ribosomal RNA", at positions 35 to 914 of the family's 1533-position model. The record is from RNAcentral.